GGAGGGGGCUAGCGUUGUUCGGAAUUACUGGGCGUAAAGCGCGCGUAGGCGGGCUGGUUAGGUUGGGGGUGAAAUCCCGAGGGCUCAACCUCGGGAACUGCCCUCAAUACUGCCAGUCUUGAGUUCGAGAGAGGUGAGUGGAAUUCCUAGUGUAGAGGUGAAAUUCGUAGAUAUUAGGAAGAACACCAGUGGCGAAGGCGGCUCACUGGCUCGAUACUGACGCUGAGGCGCGAAAGCGUGGGGAGCAAACAGGAUUAGAUACCCUGGUAGUCCACGCCGUAAACGAUGGGUGCUAGUUGUCAGGCAGCUUGCUGUUUGGUGACGCAGCUAACGCGUUAAGCACCCCGCCUGGGGACUACGGUCGCAAGACUA
Molecule: ribosomal RNA, 372 nt
Filed under: uncultured organism
Description: partial 16S ribosomal RNA
Rfam family: Bacterial small subunit ribosomal RNA
Source: RNAcentral